GCCUCAGACAGUGCAGCCCAUGGGGUGCCCAGGCCACUCCUGCCCUCCCUGGGGACAGGUUUUCCAGACAUGUGCUGGGAGAGGGCUGGGACCGGCACAGAAUGUUCCACCACACACCGCAGUCGCGCCCCAUUUACCCGGUCCCUCACCACAGGCCUAGAGGGGGCCCUACCAAGCCAGACCCUGCUCCCCACUCCCUGCUGUGGGCAUGACUGGGUGACCUUUCAAGAUGAAAUUUAAGGAGGCCUCUGAGGGGAGCCAUCUCUGAACAUCGCCUUUCCGAGGCAUCUGCCUUUGAGGAGCUGUUCCACCUGCCGCAAGGCUCUGAACUCUCCGUGAUCUGUGCUCCAGCGUUUCCCUGGAGGGCCCUGUUUUCCCAUCCUCUGUGCCUGGCACAGCUUCCAAGUUCCCAGACUAAGCUCCUCCGGGAAGCCGUCUCUGACGGGACAGUGGAUCACAGACCUCUCCCUCCUCUGACUUCCCCCCACCCCGCUGUCGGUCCUGCCUGUGGAGCACUGGCUCAUCUCAUGUCCUGUUUAGCCUGUUUAGCUGUCAGGUGUCCCGAGGGUUGAGGGUCUUUCUUCUUCCCAGGUACUUCAACUCAUUUUCCUGGAAUUACCAGAUUCUUCACUCAUGCCCCAACUAGACUGAGAGUCCCCAAGGGCAGGGGCUGUGUCAGGUGUAUCUCUGUGCCCUGAUGCCCAACCCAGGGCUUGGCACAGAGGAGCAAGAGCAAACUUCCACUGGAUACAUUUCUGGUGCUUUUCUCAGGUGACAGGUGCCACCUUUGAGCUCUGGAGACACUGUCUUCUCUGCUUGUCACUCUAGCCCAUCAGGCCUGGUGCCGUGCUGAGUACAUGGUAGAGACCCUGGUGGGACUGGAGACCAGGACAGAGCUCUGCUGCAGAGUUCUUUCAGCCAUGAGGA
Choloepus didactylus (southern two-toed sloth) is the source of this 927-nucleotide long non-coding RNA. RefSeq lists it as uncharacterized. The transcript is spliced from 3 exons. The record is from RefSeq and is a predicted model, not a curated record. Lineage: Eukaryota; Metazoa; Chordata; Mammalia; Pilosa; Megalonychidae.